This 567-nucleotide ribosomal RNA is filed under the name uncultured bacterium. Its description in RNAcentral is "bacterial SSU rRNA". It matches the Rfam family "Bacterial small subunit ribosomal RNA", at positions 338 to 916 of the family's 1533-position model. The record is from RNAcentral.
CCUACGGGAGGCAGCAGUGGGGAAUAUUGCACAAUGGGCGGAAGCCUGAUGCAGCGACGCCGCGUGAGGGAUGAAGGCCUUCGGGUUGUAAACCUCUUUCAGCAGGGACGAAGCGUGAGUGACGGUACCUGCAGAAGAAGCACCGGCUAACUACGUGCCAGCAGCCGCGGUAAUACGUAGGGUGCGAGCGUUGUCCGGAAUUACUGGGCGUAAAGAGUUCGUAGGCGGUUUGUCGCGUCGUUUGUGAAAACCCGGGGCUCAACUUCGGGCUUGCAGGCGAUACGGGCAGACUUGAGUGUUUCAGGGGAGACUGGAAUUCCUGGUGUAGCGGUGAAAUGCGCAGAUAUCAGGAGGAACACCGGUGGCGAAGGCGGGUCUCUGGGAAACAACUGACGCUGAGGAACGAAAGCGUGGGUAGCAAACAGGAUUAGAUACCCUGGUAGUCCACGCCGUAAACGGUGGGCGCUAGGUGUGGGUUCCUUCCACGGGAUCUGUGCCGUAGCUAACGCAUUAAGCGCCCCGCCUGGGGAGUACGGCCGCAAGGCUAAAACUCAAAGGAAUUGACGG